Molecule: long non-coding RNA, 1782 nt
Filed under: Homo sapiens (human)
Lineage: Eukaryota; Metazoa; Chordata; Mammalia; Primates; Hominidae
Description: HSALNT0079574
Source: RNAcentral
CCUAUUCCCUGAGACACAGAAAAAUUGAAAUUAGGCCAAUUAAUAACCCUACAGUGGCAUCUGUGUGUUCAAGCAAAAGGAAAAGUCACACAUCUCUCACUUUAAAUCAAAAGCUAGAAAGGAUAAAGCCUAGUGAGGAAGGCAUGUCAAAAGCCGAGAUAGGCCAAAAGCUAGGUCUCUUGUACUAAACAAUUAGCUAAGUGGUGGAUGCAAUUAAAAGUUUUUGAAGGAAAUUAGAAGUGCUACUUCAGUGAACACAUGAAUGAUAAGAAAGCAAAACAGUUUCAUUGCUGAUAUGGAGAAAGUUUGAGUGGUCUGGAUAGAAGAUCAAACCAGCCACAACAUUCCCGUAAGCCAAAGCCUAAUCCAGAGCAAGGCCCUAACUCUUCAACUCUAUGAAGGCUGAGGAAGGUGAGAAAGCUGCAGAGGAAAAGUUGGAAGCUAGCAGAGAUUGGUUCCUGGGGUUUAAGGAAAGAAGCCAUCUCUAUAACAUACUAUAAAAGUGCAAGGUGAAGCAGCAAGUGCUGAUGGAGAAGUUGCAGCAAGUUAUCUGCAAGAUCUACCUAAGAUAAUUGAUAAAGAUGGCUGCAUUAAUCAACAGAUUUUCAGUGUAGAUAAAACAGUCUUCUAUUUUAAGAAGACAGGACUUUCACAGCUAGAGAGGAGUAAAAGCCUGGCUUCAAAGGCUCAAAGAACAGGCUGACUCUCCGGCUGGGGGCUAAUGCUGCUGAUGAUUUUAAGUUGCAUGCAGUACCCAUUCACCAUUCUAAAAAAUCCUAUGGCCCUUCAGAAUUGUGCUGUAUCUACUCUGCCUGUGCUCUAUGAAUUGAACAACAAAGCCUGGAUUAAGCACAUCUAUUUACAGUAUGGUUUACUGAAGAUUUUAAGCCCACAACCUGCUGCUCAGAAAAAAAGAAAAGAUUCCUUUCAAAGUAAUCCUGUUCAUUGACAAUGCACAAGGUCACCCAAGGACACUGAUAGUGAUGUAAAGGAAAUUCCUGUUGUUUUAGUGCUUGCUAACACAGCAUCCAUUCUGCAGCCCACAGAUCAAGGAGUAAUUCCAACUUUAAAAUCUUAUCAUCUAGGAAAUACAUUUUGUCAGGCUAUAGCUGCCACAGAUAGUGACUCCUCAAUGGAUCUGGGCAAAAUAAAUAGAAAACCUCUGGAAAGGAUUCACCAUUUGAGAUGCCAUUGAGAACAUUCAUGAUUCACGGGAGGAGGUCAAAAUAUCAACAUUAGCAGGAGCUUGGGAGAAGUUGAUUCCAACCCUCCUGGAUGACUUUGAGGGGUUCAAGACUUCAGUGGAGAUAGUCACUGCAGAUGUGGUGAGAUAGCAAGAGAGCUAGAAUUAGUAGUGGAGCCUAAGAUAUGGCUAAAUUGCUGCAAUCUCAUGAUAAAACUUGAAUAGAUGAGCAAAAAAUGUGGUUUCUUGAGAUGGAAUCUAUUUCUGGUGAAGAUGCUGUGAACGUUGUUGAAAUGACAACAAAGGAUUUAGAAUAUUACAUAAACUUAGUUGAUAAAGGAUUUAGAAUAUUACAUAAACUUAGUUGAUAAAGCAGCAGCAGGGUUUGAGAAGAUUGACUCUAAUUUUGAAAGAAGUUCUACUGUAGGCAAAUUACUAUCAAACAGCACCACAUGCUGUGGAGAAAUCUUUUGUGAGAGUCAAUUGAUGAAGCAAACUUUAUUGUUACCUUAUUUUAAGAAAUUGCCACAGCCACUCCAACCUUCAACAACUACUACCCUGAUCGGCCAUCAGCCUUUAAUAUGGAAGUGAAACUGGCA